RNAcentral lists this ribosomal RNA (253 nucleotides) under uncultured bacterium. RNAcentral's name for it is "partial 16S ribosomal RNA". It matches the Rfam family "Bacterial small subunit ribosomal RNA", at positions 524 to 776 of the family's 1533-position model. The record is from RNAcentral.
UACAGAGGCCCCAAGCGUUACUGAGAAUCACUGGGUUUAAAGGGUGCGUAGGUGGCGCGUUAAGUCCGUUGUGAAAUCCCUGGGCUCAACCCAGGAAUUGCUUCGGAUACUGGCGUGCUUGAGGCUAGUAGGGGUCACUGGAACUGACGGUGGAGCGGUGAAAUGCGUAGAUAUCGUCAGGAACGCCGAUGGUGAAGACAGGCGACUGGGCUAGUUCUGACACUGAGGCACGAAAGCGUGGGGAGCGAACGGG